AUCAGUCAAAUACAGUAAAUAAUACUGAUCAGAUUAAUAAAAAUCAUGCAUAUACUAGUUGUUCACAUCGGUGAUGAAUUAAACUUAAUAAAUAAGAAUGUAACCCUGUUUGUUUCUCUCUGAUAUCCUGCGCGCUGCACAGAGAGUUGAUGAGCUUUUAACAACUUGGCAAGGGUAUUUGUCCAAGGUUUUUAGAGAGACAGAGAGAGAGAGAGA
This 216-nucleotide unclassified non-coding RNA is filed under the name Hevea brasiliensis (rubber tree). Lineage: Eukaryota; Viridiplantae; Streptophyta; Magnoliopsida; Malpighiales; Euphorbiaceae. The record is from RNAcentral.